RNAcentral lists this ribosomal RNA (634 nucleotides) under Dasya anastomosans. Its description in RNAcentral is "eukaryotic LSU rRNA". It matches the Rfam family "Eukaryotic large subunit ribosomal RNA", at positions 1284 to 1900 of the family's 3401-position model. Lineage: Eukaryota; Rhodophyta; Florideophyceae; Ceramiales; Dasyaceae. The record is from RNAcentral.
AACAACUCACCUGCCGAAUGAAUUAGCCCUGAAAAUGGAUGGCGCUUAAGCGGGUAGCCGACACCGCACCGUUUGGGCAAGAAAAUGUGAACUAUGGAUCCCAAAUGAGUAGGAGGACGUGGCGGUCGUAUCGAAGCGUACGUGCAAACGUGCGUGGAACGGCCGCUAGUGCAGAUCUUGGUGUUAGUAGCAAAUAUUCAAAUGAAAACCUUGAAGGGCGAAGCGGGGAAGGGUUCCACGCGAACAUUGAUUGGGCGUGGGUGAGUCGUUCCUAAACCACGUGGCAAUAGCUAAGUACUGGUGAAAGGGAAGCAGGUUGACAUUCCUGCACACGAAUGUAGACGCGGUGACGCACUUGUGGGGGCGGUGAAGCUGGCGGUGGCACUGGGCAGAGAUGUCUUUUCUGUUUGACUGAGUCUGGGAUGCUGUGUGGAAUCCGCUUGUCGGGAGAUGCACGCAUACUUGGGCAUAGCGCCGGGGUGUUUUCCGGCGUCCAGAUCGCCAUCGUUGGACCUUGAAAAGCCGUCUGCUGGCACUCGACUAGUAAGUCUUGUGUGAAAGAACUCUACGUCGUAACGUACCCAUAACCGCAUCAGGUCCCCAAGGUGAACAGCCUCUGCUCGAUAUGAAAAAU